RNAcentral lists this microRNA (21 nucleotides) under Arabidopsis thaliana (thale cress). Its description in RNAcentral is "ath-miR420". Its record names the gene ath-miR420. Lineage: Eukaryota; Viridiplantae; Streptophyta; Magnoliopsida; Brassicales; Brassicaceae. The record is from miRBase by way of RNAcentral.
UAAACUAAUCACGGAAAUGCA